This is a long non-coding RNA of Actinia tenebrosa (Australian red waratah sea anemone), 1229 nucleotides long. The record is from RefSeq and is a predicted model, not a curated record. Lineage: Eukaryota; Metazoa; Cnidaria; Anthozoa; Actiniaria; Actiniidae.
GGCAACACAGCGACGCCUAAAGUGUUUCUCUUCUUACAGCAGCGACAGUCGGUCGAUAACACUUUAUUUAAAUUUUGGACGAAAUGAUUGGAAAAUGCUAAGCCUACGAAGUGCUACGUUGGGCCUAGACUAAAUAACUACUGUCAAAUACUCAUCCAAUUGCGCCAUUGAUGGAAAUAGCAUUCAAAAGGGAAGCACGAUUCAAAUAAAACAAUUACUAGACAAGGAGAUCAAUUGGCAUGAUGUAAAAACCGGUUUGUACAAUACGGAGUUGAAUYGAGCUGAACUGUGCACUGGGGGAAAGGUGUAACAGGUGCAAAAAGAAGCAUAAACGAAGAGGCUAUAGAUUAAAGAGCGAUGUAUAUAAACAUUUCAAACCAAUAGACAGACACAAUUUGACUGACAGGCACGGGGGGGGGAGGACGACAAAAAUCAAAAGAAAUAAUUUAAUGAGGUAAGAAGAGAACUAGCUGAGUGGUUGGAUUCUACUAGAUAUGAUUAUUCUUCAUCUCUUCCUAGUAAUCUGAGUUUGCAGAAAAAGCAUGAAUUGAACAUAUUGGUGCAGUGAUAAAAUGUGGUCUACGUGUGAAGUAAUAUCGAAUCUAGUGUCACAGACGGUGUGGCGUGACUAAACUAGACCAAUUUAAUGACUUCGAUUUUUCAUCAAAACGAAUCUGUUUGACUGCAUGUAACCAAUCAAAUGAAAUUGGAUAAAAAUAGGAAGAGAACAAAUAAAGAAACUCCUAAUAAAUAGUAUCGAAUAAUCCAUCUAGAAGAUGAGUAUUGAUGACAUAUUCUUGAAAUAAUUGUGCCGGGUUUCUUAUAAGAGUAGUUUGAUUGGUGGAUCUUGUAUAGAUCAACUAUAUAAUGUAUGAAUGAUUAUCAUGCAAAAUGAACAGCGCAACUGUUUUAUAUUGAUCGCACAAAAKGAAUUAUUAUAAAAAGCAAAGCUUUCAGUCAUGCGCAUUCUCUUAAGUUUCUGUAACGGUUGAUAACUAAGGAAGRAAAAAAACGUAAAUCAAGACUGCUACAAGUGGUUAGAUCCAGUGUAUUAGAAGAUAUCGGACUGGUUGCGUGCCUGCCAGCUAAUAGCAGUUUGCCUAACCCAACUACCCUUAGAAACUUAUCAUCUUUAAUAUUAGGAAAWUUCCAGCUGCAUUCUAAAGGAAUUUAAGGCUAAGAAAAGAGGCCUUGAUGUUGCCUCGAUAAAGCAGAAGUGACACACUCUA